Molecule: long non-coding RNA, 887 nt
Organism: Daphnia carinata
Lineage: Eukaryota; Metazoa; Arthropoda; Branchiopoda; Diplostraca; Daphniidae
Exons: 2
Source: RefSeq, a predicted model, not a curated record
UACUAAGUAAUCAAACCAAAUUUAGCUGGCUUGCAAUAACAACUGGAUGUUUCCGGUACAAGUAAUGUCAAGCAUGUCAACUAGUCAACCGUGCCUUGUAGGGGGUGUCAAUCAAAAACACCAUCAGACAUCUAACAAGCUAUGUUUAAAAACAGACCUGCACCUCUUUUAGCUUUGUUGGUGGAGACACCAGAGCGUAUACACAAUCGGUCAGGAAUGCAAACAGUACCAGCCUUCUUCCCAAUCUAUUUUUAGCGUUCACUGUCUUGCCGCAAAGUUACAGCAAAGCACACAAGACGAAGCUGACAAGGCUUUUUGCUGGUACUGAUCGUACUGUUUAUUGGUACAUGAUUUUUCAGUCAGGCGGCCAAAUCUUUUUUAAUGCAUUGCCUAGUCGAGAAGUGCUAUGGGAUUUUUUGCGCUUUUGUUAUAAGAAGCACAUUGUAUCCGUAAGAAUUAGACAUGCUAGCAUUCAGUCCAUCCUACUAAAUCCAGUAAUACAACACUUACAUCUAAUACUAAAAUUAAUUAAUUCUGAAUAGGUGGAAACCACCAACGACGAAGUACAAUACGUGUAUAUAUUUUCUAACCUUUUGGGUUUCCGGCUUCAAAAACAAAGACGGGCGAAGUAAACUGAGAUAGCUGAGCGGUUCGGAGUCUCUGAUGGAACGAUCUUCCUGUGACCCUCGACUAACUUGGACUAGUGACUCCGGAAACAUUUUCUCUGACCAUUAUCUUCUCAAAGUCUAAUUAUAGUCGGACCUGUUCUACCGUCACAACGCUCUCAUUCUCUGUCUAUAGGCUGUCUCGGUGUAGUAGGUUUUGUUUUCUAGCUGUUGCUUAUUUAUUUCACAGUAGGAGUCAAUGCAAAGAAGCCCGAUUCGUCA